Molecule: transfer RNA, 88 nt
Filed under: Parcubacteria bacterium OLB19
Lineage: Bacteria; Candidatus Parcubacteria
Description: tRNA-Leu
Rfam family: tRNA
About the family: Transfer RNA (tRNA) molecules are approximately 80 nucleotides in length.
Source: RNAcentral
GCCGGGGUGGUGGAAUCGGUAGACACGAAGGACUUAAAAUCCUUUGCCUAUUAAAAAAGCGUGCGGGUUCAAGUCCCGCCCUCGGCAC